AGAGAGAGACAUGCGCGCAUAUCAAUAAGCGGAGGAAAAGAAACUAACAAGGAUUCCCCUAGUAACGGCGAGUGAAGCGGGAAGAGCUCAAAUUUGAAAUCUUAAAGGGUUUCCCUUUACGAAUUGUAGUUUAAAGAAGUGUUUUCUGUUGAGGUUUUGGUAAAAGUUCUUUGGAAUAGGACAUCAUAGAGGGUGAGAAUCCCGUAUUUGACCAUUAUUUCCAGCUUUGUGAUACACUUUCAAAGAGUCGGAUUGUUUGGGAAUGCAGUCCAAAAUGGGUGGUAAAUUUCAUCUAAAGCUAAAUAUUGGCGAGAGACCGAUAGCGAACAAGUACCGUGAGGGAAAGAUGAAAAGAACUUUGAAAAGAGAGUUAAACAGUACGUGAAAUUGUCAAAAGGGAAGCGUUUGACACCGGUGUUGUUUUCUCGAAAAUCAAUUAAAAAAGGCAGGAUUUUGUGUUGUAUUGACUUUAUCAGCUUUCUGCACUCUUUUCUUGUCUUUUUUAAUGCACUUUUCAGUUUAACAAGUCAACAUCAAUUUCUUUUGUUGUAAAAGGGUCAUUGGAAGGUGGCUUUCUAUUUUCGGAGAAAGUGUUUAUAGCCUUUGGCCUCUGCAAUCGGAGAGAUUGAGGUCUGCAGCGUAGAUCCUUCGGGGUUAGAUGACAUUUGUGCUAAGUUAUAGCCUUUCAUAGACAACUUGUUGACUAUGAUCAGUCAUGUAGCUUACUCGCUUAUGCUAUUUUACCUACGCUUAGGAUGUUGAUGUGAUACUGCGAGCA
This 778-nucleotide ribosomal RNA is filed under the name uncultured Neocallimastigales. Its description in RNAcentral is "partial large subunit ribosomal RNA". It matches the Rfam family "Eukaryotic large subunit ribosomal RNA", at positions 23 to 627 of the family's 3401-position model. The record is from RNAcentral. Lineage: Eukaryota; Fungi; Neocallimastigomycota; Neocallimastigomycetes; Neocallimastigales.